CUAGGAUUAGAUACCCUAUUAUUUUAAAUAAAAUUAAAGAUAUUAGAGAUUAAAUGUAAAAACAUUAAAUUUAGAUAGUUUGGCGGUAUUUUAUAAAAUUAGAGGAAUCUGUUAAAUAAAUGAUAUUCCACGAUAGGACGGUCUUAACAUAGUUUUAUGUAUUGUUGUUUGUAUAUUAAUUUAGGAGAAUUUUAAUAGGAAUUUAAUAUUUUAGAGGAAUUCAAAUCAAAAUGUAGAGUUGUUAAGUUUAAAUGGAUUACAAUUUAAUUUAAUAUUUAAAUUUUAAUUUUUAAUAGUUAAAUGAAAGAGGAUUUAAUAGUAAGAUUAAAUAAUAAUUUAAUUUGAAGAUUAGGUAAAGUAUGUACAAAUUGCCCGGUCAUUUU
This 383-nucleotide ribosomal RNA is filed under the name Crematogaster rothneyi. RNAcentral's name for it is "partial 12S ribosomal RNA". The record is from RNAcentral. Lineage: Eukaryota; Metazoa; Arthropoda; Insecta; Hymenoptera; Formicidae.